UGAUCAAAAAUGGGAAACAACACACGAUGGAAAAUGCUCUCCCAAAAUGAUGAUGAGAACUUGCUACCUCUCUCAUUCAGCAAAUCAAACAAAACUUCUAGUGCACAGCUUCUAACCUCAGGUCUUGCAUCUGAUGUCAAAUCUGAUAAACCAGCUAGCAUUGGGAACCAAUAAUGCUCAGCCACAUCAAAAUUCACAUCAACAAUAUCAUCAAUGGGCUUCAAAGCACCACCAGGUAUAAGGCCCUCUGCCAAACGAUCUUCACAAAUGCGGAGAAGGGCAAUAGCCUUCAAACUUAUGCGGUGAGAAGUUUUGUUAUUGGCAAACCGUAUAAGACAGUUGACACAGUCCAUAAAACAAUCCCCAACAACCUGAUCGAAAUGUUCCAAGAUAACCUGUUCAACAUUUCCAAAGGCACUUUCCACAAUUGAUUCCAGUUCAUCAUCUGCAGCCGCUGUGAAAAUCAUAAAAACACUAUGCCAUCCAGACUUUAUGCUUCCAACUUUAGAUUUGAUCAUUUGAACAAUACAGUCCACAAUUAGUCUCCUUAUGGAAUCGCUUCGACUGUUCCGCAUGAGAACAACAAAUGGUUUGAGAAUGUCAUU
Molecule: unclassified non-coding RNA, 605 nt
Filed under: Hevea brasiliensis (rubber tree)
Lineage: Eukaryota; Viridiplantae; Streptophyta; Magnoliopsida; Malpighiales; Euphorbiaceae
Source: RNAcentral